Molecule: non-coding RNA, 102 nt
Organism: Hydnum rufescens UP504
Lineage: Eukaryota; Fungi; Basidiomycota; Agaricomycetes; Cantharellales; Hydnaceae
Source: the annotation of a GenBank genome assembly
GGGGAUUUAUCUCAGGGGUAGAGUGCUCGCUUCGCAUUAUGCAAUCGUGUGAUCAAUGUGCAAGCUUGCGAGAAGUCGAGGGUUCAAAUCCCUCAAUCUCCA